AAAUUGAAGAGUUUGAUCAUGGCUCAGAUUGAACGCUGGCGGCAGGCCUAACACAUGCAAGUCGAGCGGAAACGAGUUAUCAGAACCUUCGGGGGACGAUAACGGCGUCGAGCGGCGGACGGGUGAGUAAUGCCUAGGAAAUUGCCCUGAUGUGGGGGAUAACCAUUGGAAACGAUGGCUAAUACCGCAUGAUGCCUACGGGCCAAAGAGGGGGACCUUCGGG
RNAcentral lists this ribosomal RNA (223 nucleotides) under Vibrio parahaemolyticus. Its description in RNAcentral is "partial 16S ribosomal RNA". It matches the Rfam family "Bacterial small subunit ribosomal RNA", at positions 1 to 224 of the family's 1533-position model. The record is from RNAcentral. Lineage: Bacteria; Pseudomonadati; Pseudomonadota; Gammaproteobacteria; Vibrionales; Vibrionaceae.